AAAAUAGUUGGGCUAUUAAUGUUUUUUUUCCAAACCGAAAAAUCUUUUGUCUCUGUCGCAAGCUUCACUUGAUUCAUUUUCUUCGUGGAUCUUCUCACCUUCGACUGCAACUCGUGGCAACCAAGCUUGGCGGCUUCUCUCCCAUUACAAUCUCCAGCCACUGUACUCCAACCAACAAUUCUCCACCGCAAUCCUCCUCUGUUGCGUAUGCUUCAUAUCCUCCGUGAUUCACCUGUCUCGAGCUUUCUCUUCUCCGCCACAGCUCGUCGCAUCUGUCUCAGGCCACCAGACCAUCUACGUCGUCUUGCUCUGCCGACGGUGUCAUGCUCGGAUUCAAGCCUCGUCGUUCUCAUCAUCGCCGUCUCUGUCUCGUCACAUAAGAGAUCAAACAACAAUGGUGGAUUUUCAAUAAUUUUCAGAUUUGGUCCUUCACUUUUUGAUUUCUUUCGAUUGUUUUGUGGACAGACGAAUUGUGGACCAGUGUUAUGUGGAUAGACGAAUUGUGGACGAGUGUUAACAUUGUGGAUAGUUUUCUGGUGGAUAUAUAUGUUGUGGACAAGAGUCAUGUGAAUGUGUUCUUAUAAACAAGUUUGUAGUGGACCUGUUCUUAUGGACAAGCUCUUACAAUUAUAGUUGUGUAACUAUGACUGUUUGUGAACAUGUUAUUGUAGACAAAGAUCGUGUUUGAAGUUUAAUCUAUCUAGGGUUUGUGUUGUUUGUUUGAAGAUAAUCCAUCUAGAGAACAUAUUGUAUUGUGACGUUUUGAAAGAGAG
This 773-nucleotide long non-coding RNA is filed under the name Brassica napus (rape). RNAcentral's name for it is "long non-coding RNA (BNAP_LNC013166)". Lineage: Eukaryota; Viridiplantae; Streptophyta; Magnoliopsida; Brassicales; Brassicaceae. The record is from RNAcentral.